Molecule: long non-coding RNA, 715 nt
Organism: Tachysurus fulvidraco (yellow catfish)
Lineage: Eukaryota; Metazoa; Chordata; Actinopteri; Siluriformes; Bagridae
Exons: 2
Source: RefSeq, a predicted model, not a curated record
GGCCACGGUCCAGAAGAAGGAGCUGGUGUUGGAGAAAGUGGAAAAGGCUCCUUGCGUCACGCAGUCCCAAGUGUUCGCUUUAAAAACUUUAUAAACUCCGUACGAGUAAGAGACGGCUGAGAUUAAAUCAGCUACCGAGAGGAAGACUAACAGCUGUCUCGGUGUGGUUCUUAAAUCGGGCCACAGCGCGUACGUGCUAAUAACCAGCACAGAGCCCAAGACCGAGAGAGCACAAGACAACAAUAUUACAACCUGCUCAUACACAGCCACGUCCUCCUGCUCCCACCACACCGCCAUGACUUCCUCAAACAACCCCUGUGAGGACAGAAGACCGGAUUAGGGCUGGAUUUCAUGCGUAAAAUCUCAGGAAAGUCAGUCUGGCGUCUCCAUUUCACUUGGUUUCGUCGAACGUCGCGUUUUGUUUUUUAACCUACGACUGCAGAAAUGCUGAUUGGUCAGCAGAAGCUCUUAGUUGUGAAGCUGCAAGACAUCAGAGUGAAGACAAAUAGUACAUGUUCCAGCAACACCUCUCAGAUAAAUGUUUCCUUUACAUCAGACACAGUACUACACAACAUCCGAGCAGUUCUUUCCCCAAAGGUCUUGAAUCCUCGAUAAACAACUAAGCACCACUGACCUUCCAUUUACUCUGUAGUGUUGUAUGCAGACUUUUGUAUUUGUAGUGUGUUUAUUAUAUUUUAUAAAUUUCCUGUUUAAA